This is a small nucleolar RNA of Raphanus sativus (radish), 104 nucleotides long. NCBI's taxonomy places the organism in Eukaryota, Viridiplantae, Streptophyta, Magnoliopsida, Brassicales, Brassicaceae. The record is from RefSeq and is a predicted model, not a curated record.
AAACCAUGAUGAGGACAUUGAGUAAUGUAGCUUUGAAUCUUCCCAUGCUUCACCAAAAGCUUCAAGAUUCCUCUGUUGAAACCAGAGAUCUCAUUCCUUAUCUU